Molecule: ribosomal RNA, 497 nt
Filed under: uncultured bacterium
Lineage: Bacteria
Description: partial 16S ribosomal RNA
Rfam family: Bacterial small subunit ribosomal RNA
Source: RNAcentral
GACGAACGCUGGCGGCGUGCCUAAUACAUGCAAGUUGAGCGCUGAAGGUUGGUACUUGUACCGACUGGAUGAGCAGCGAACGGGUGAGUAACGCGUGGGGAAUCUGCCUUUGAGCGGGGGACAACAUUUGGAAACGAAUGCUAAUACCGCAUAAAAACUUUAAACACAAGUUUUAAGUUUGAAAGAUGCAAUUGCAUCACUCAAAGAUGAUCCCGCGUUGUAUUAGCUAGUUGGUGAGGUAAAGGCUCACCAAGGCGAUGAUACAUAGCCGACCUGAGAGGGGGAUCGGCCACAUUGGGACUGAGACACGGCCCAAACUCCUACGGGAGGCAGCAGUAGGGAAUCUUCGGCAAUGGACGAAAGUCUGACCGAGCAACGCCGCGGGAGGGAAGAAGGGUUUCGGAUCGUAAAACUCUGUUGGUAGAGAAGAACGUUGGUGAGAGUGGAAAGCUCAUCAAGUGACGGUAACUACCCAGAAAGGGACGGCUAACUACGUG